GAGGGGGGCUGCUCCUAGUACGAGAGGACCGGAGUGGACGCAUCACUGGUGUUCGGGUUGUCAUGCCAAUGGCACUGCCCGGUAGCUAAAUGCGGAAGAGAUAAGUGCUGAAAGCAUCUAAGCACGAAACUUGCCCCGAGAUGAGUUCUCCCUGACUCCUUGAGAGUCCUGAAGGAACGUUGAAGACGACGACGUUGAUAGGCCGGGUGUGUAAGCGCAGCGAUGCGUUGAGCUAACCGGUACUAAUGAACCGUGAGGCUUAACCUUACAACGCCGAAG
This 279-nucleotide ribosomal RNA is filed under the name Escherichia coli. Its description in RNAcentral is "partial 23S ribosomal RNA". It matches the Rfam family "Bacterial large subunit ribosomal RNA", at positions 2664 to 2925 of the family's 2925-position model. Lineage: Bacteria; Pseudomonadati; Pseudomonadota; Gammaproteobacteria; Enterobacterales; Enterobacteriaceae. The record is from RNAcentral.